This 253-nucleotide ribosomal RNA is filed under the name uncultured bacterium. Its description in RNAcentral is "partial 16S ribosomal RNA". It matches the Rfam family "Bacterial small subunit ribosomal RNA", at positions 524 to 776 of the family's 1533-position model. The record is from RNAcentral.
UACGUAGGUGGCAAGCGUUGUUCGGAAUUAUUGGGCGUAAAGGGUGCGCAGGCGGUUGGGUGUGUCAGAUGUGAAAUCCCGAGGCUCAACCUCGGAACUGCGUUUGAAACUACUCGACUAGAGUACUGGAGAGGGUAACGGAAUUCACGGUGUAGCAGUGAAAUGCGUAGAUAUCGGGAGGAACACCUGAGGCGAAGGCGGGCUACUGGGCCGAUACUGACGCUGAGGCGCGAAAGCCAGGGGAGCAAACGGG